Molecule: ribosomal RNA, 87 nt
Filed under: Escherichia albertii
Lineage: Bacteria; Pseudomonadati; Pseudomonadota; Gammaproteobacteria; Enterobacterales; Enterobacteriaceae
Source: RNAcentral
CCUGGCGGAGAUAGCGCGGUGGUCCCACCUGACCCCAUGCCGAACUCAGAAGUGAAACGCCGUAGCGCCGAUGGUAGUGUGGGGCUU